AUCAACUUUCGAUGGUAGGAUAGAGGCCUACCAUGGUGGUAACGGGUAACGGGGUGUUAGGGCACGACACCGGAGAGGGAGCCUGAGAAACGGCUACCACAUCCAAGGAUGGCAGCAGGCGCGCAAAUUACCCAAUCCCGACACGGGGAGGUAGUGACAAUAAAUAACAAUACGGGGUUCUUUCGGAUUUCGUAAUUGGAAUGAGUACAAUUUAAAUCUCUUAACGAGGAACAAUUGGAGGGCAAGUCUGGUGCCAGCAGCCGCGGUAAUUCCAGCUCCAAUAGCGUAUAUUAAAGUUGCUGCAGUUAAAAAGCUCGUAGUUGAAUUUCGGGACCAAUAUGUCGGUCGUGCCUCGGUACGUACUGGCAUCGUUGGUUUCUCCCUUCUGAAGAACCAUGAUGUCAUUCAUUUGGUGUCGUGGGGAAUCAGGACUGUUACUUUGAAAAAAUUAGAGUGUUUAAAGCAGGCUCACGCUUGAAUACAUUAGCAUGGAAUAAUGAAAUAGGACGUUUGAUUCUAUUUUGUUGGUUUCUAGGAUCGACGUAAUGAUUAAUAGGGAUAGUUGGGGGCAUUAGUAUUCAAUUGCCAGAGGUGAAAUUCUUGAAUUUAUUGAAGACUAACUACUGCGAAAGCAUUUGCCAAGGAUGUUUUCAUUAAUCAAGAACGAAAGUUAGGGGAUCGAAGACGAUCAGAUACCGUCGUAGUCUUAACCAUAAACUAUGCCGACUAGGGAUCGGAUGAUGUUAAUUU
RNAcentral lists this ribosomal RNA (750 nucleotides) under uncultured Dominikia. Its description in RNAcentral is "SSU rRNA". It matches the Rfam family "Eukaryotic small subunit ribosomal RNA", at positions 314 to 1069 of the family's 1831-position model. The record is from RNAcentral. Lineage: Eukaryota; Fungi; Glomeromycota; Glomeromycetes; Glomerales; Glomeraceae.